This is a small nuclear RNA of Mustela erminea (ermine), 107 nucleotides long. Lineage: Eukaryota; Metazoa; Chordata; Mammalia; Carnivora; Mustelidae. The record is from RefSeq and is a predicted model, not a curated record.
GUGCUCGCUUCGGCAGCACAUAUACUAAAAUUGGAACGAUACAGAGAAGAUUAGCAUGGCCCCUGCGCAAGGAUGAUCUUAGGGUCAUGAGAUCAAGCCAUGCAUUU